CUCCCAGUAGCUCAGUCGGAUAGAGCGUUGGAUUCCUAAUCCAAAGGUCAGAGGUUCAAAUCCUCUCUGGGAGGCCA
Molecule: transfer RNA, 77 nt
Filed under: Alphaproteobacteria bacterium MarineAlpha3_Bin5
Lineage: Bacteria; Pseudomonadati; Pseudomonadota; Alphaproteobacteria
Also listed under: 1 other name
Description: tRNA-Arg
Rfam family: tRNA
About the family: Transfer RNA (tRNA) molecules are approximately 80 nucleotides in length. Their secondary structure includes four short double-helical elements and three loops (D, anti-codon, and T loops).
Source: RNAcentral